GAUGAACGCUGGCGGCGUGCUUAACACAUGCAAGUCGAACGGAAAGGCCCAAGCUUGCUUGGGUACUCGGGUGGCGAACGGGUGAGUAACACGUGGGUGAUCUGCCCUGCACUUCGGGAUAAGCCUGGGAAACUGGGUCUAAUACUGGAUAGGACCACUUCUUGGAUGUUGUGGUGGAAAGUUUUUUCGGUGUGGGAUGAGCUCGCGGCCUAUCAGCUUGUUGGUGGGGUAAUGGCCUACCAAGGCGUCGACGGGUAGCCGGCCUGAGAGGGUGUACGGCCACAUUGGGACUGAGAUACGGCCCAGACUCCUACGGGAGGCAGCAGUGGGGAAUAUUGCACAAUGGGCGCAAGCCUGAUGCAGCGACGCCGCGUGGGGGAUGACGGCCUUCGGGUCGUAAACUCCUUUCGCUAGGGACGAAGCGUUUUGUGACGGUACCUGGAGAAGAAGCACCGGCUAACUACGUG
RNAcentral lists this ribosomal RNA (467 nucleotides) under uncultured bacterium. RNAcentral's name for it is "partial 16S ribosomal RNA". It matches the Rfam family "Bacterial small subunit ribosomal RNA", at positions 28 to 507 of the family's 1533-position model. The record is from RNAcentral.